RNAcentral lists this ribosomal RNA (234 nucleotides) under uncultured fungus. RNAcentral describes it as "partial 18S ribosomal RNA". It matches the Rfam family "Eukaryotic small subunit ribosomal RNA", at positions 548 to 785 of the family's 1831-position model. Lineage: Eukaryota; Fungi. The record is from RNAcentral.
UUGGAGGGCAAGUCUGGUGCCAGCAGCCGCGGUAAUUCCAGCUCCAAUAGCGUAUAUUAAAGUUGUUGCAGUUAAAAAGCUCGUAGUUGAACCUUGGGCCUGGCUGGCCCGUCCGCCUCACCGCGUGUACUGGUCCGGCCGGGCCUUUCCUUCUGGGGAACCUCAUGCCCUUCACUGGGCGUGUUGGGGAACCAGGACUUUUACUUUGAAAAAAUUAGAGUGUUUAAAGCAGGC